Molecule: ribosomal RNA, 441 nt
Filed under: uncultured bacterium
Lineage: Bacteria
Description: partial 16S ribosomal RNA
Rfam family: Bacterial small subunit ribosomal RNA
Source: RNAcentral
CCUACGGGCGGCUGCAGUGGGGAAUAUUGCACAAUGGGGGAAACCCUGAUGCAGCAACGCCGCGUGAGUGAGGAAGUAUUUCGGUAUGUAAAGCUCUAUCAGCAGGGAAUAGAAAAGAAGGUACCUGAAAAAGAAGCCCCGGCUAACUACGUGCCAGCAGCCGCGGUAAUACGUAGGGGGCAAGCGUUAUCCGGAUUUACUGGGUGUAAAGGGAGCGUAGACGGAAAGGCAAGUCAGAAGUGAAAGCCCAAGGCUUAACUGAGGAACUGCAACUAAAACUACUUCCCUUGAGUACUGGAGAGGAAAGUGGAAUUCCUAGUGUAGCGGUGAAAUGCGUAGAUAUUAGGAGGAACACCAGUGGCGAAGGCGACUUUCUGGACAGUAACUGACGUUGAGGCACGAAAGUGUGGGGAGCAAACAGGAUUAGAUACCCCUGUAGUC